CCUGGCGGCCGUAGCGCGGUGGUCCCACCUGACCCCAUGCCGAACUCAGAAGUGAAACGCCGUAGCGCCGAUGGUAGUGUGGGGUUU
This 87-nucleotide ribosomal RNA is filed under the name Escherichia coli. Lineage: Bacteria; Pseudomonadati; Pseudomonadota; Gammaproteobacteria; Enterobacterales; Enterobacteriaceae. The record is from RNAcentral.